AAUGCGGUAGUUAGCUACAGUACAACAGUAGAAGCAGAACUGAUCAGCAGGGUUUCACAGAAUUUCAACAUGAGGAAUUUUCUCAGCAAAAAAACUCCAAAUGAUUACUGAGCCUGAAUUAAUUAAACCGAUCUGAUAAAAAGAUCAACCAACCAAUAAAAACACGAGGACAGUACAAUGAAACCAAGGUAUCAAGGACAGAAGACAGAACUCUGUAUAUCAGAGUCUGGAAAUGUGCCAUGAUCUCUGGUUGUAUCAGAGGAGGCAGGUGGGAGGAGCUAUAGGAGGAUGGGCUCAUUGUAAUGGCUGGAAUUAAAUUAAUGGAAGGGAGUCAAACAUGUGGUAUUCAUAUGUUUGAUACCGUUACAUUCAGCCAUUUCAAUGAGCCCGCCCCCUUAAUGCUCCUCCCACCAGCCUCCUCUGGUUUGUAUAUCAGGGCCAUUUACCAUUUGCCUAGCAACUCUAUACUAGGAGCGGGUGGGAUAUUUCAAAUGUACAGCCACCAGACCCAGAUCAGAUUCCUAUUAUUACAGGUCAAAAUAUUUCCCAGGAUGCUUGACAGAGCCUUUCAUUUCCACCGGAGUGUUCAUGGUGUUUUUGAUAAAUACUUCUAGACUUCAUUUUUUUUUAAAUUACCCGGUCCUUUAAAUCCCACAUGUGACUUGAUUAUCUUGCACUAUAACCCCAGUAUGGACUGGAGUACAAUGUCCUUAUGGGAACACAGGCCUAUGGGGCAAUACGAUAGUGAUAUUUAUAAAGGUUAGAAGUUAGGGGCUUAUUCGAAAUGUGAAUAUCGCUGACAUGUCACCCUAUUCUUCAUGAAAACGAAUCAUGACUAUUCUACACAAAAGCCUACCUUUCUAUUUGAACGCUCCAUACCGAGGUACCCUCCCGAAUUUGACACUUUCUAUCUGAACGCUCCAUACCGAGGUACCCUCCUGAAUUUGACACUUUCUAUCUGAACGCUCCAUACCGAGGUACCCUCCUGAAUUUGACACUUUCUAUCUGAACGCUCCAUACCGAGGUACCCUCCUGAAUUUGACACUUUCUAUCUGAACGCUCCAUACCGAGGUACCCUCCUGAAUUUGACACUUUCUAUCUGAACGCUCCAUACCGAGGUACCCUCCUGAAUUUGAUUGACUCUACAUAGAAAAUUGACAGGUCUACUCACAGUGCUUGGAGAAGGAAACAUACACAUAGCACAUACUUCCAUUACUGCAGCAACACCAUCGUUUUGGUCAACAAGUUUCUCCAUGAAGUUAAACUCAGACAUCUCAGAAUUCACAAAUUCACACCAUACUGUAGGUCCCAGAGUGGUGGCACCAUACUGUAGUUCCCAGAGCGGUGGCACCAUACUGUAGGUCCCAGAGUGGUGGCACCAUACUGUAGUUCCCAGAGCGGUGGCACCAUACUGUAGGUCCCAGAGCGGUGGCACCAUACUGUAGGUCCCAGAGUGGUGGCACCAUACUGUAGUUCCCAGAGUGGUGGCGCCAUACUGUAGGUCCCAGAGUGGUGGCACCAUACUGUAGGUCCCUUCGUGGUGGAACCAUACUGUAGGUCCCAGAGUGGUGGCACCAUACUGUAGGUCCCAGAGUGGUGGCACCAUACUGUAGGUCCCAGAGUGGUGGAACCAUACUGUAAGUCCCAGAGUGGUGGCACCAUACUGUAGUUCCCAGAGUGGUGGCACCAUACUGUAGGUCCCAGAGUGGUGGAACCAUACUCUAAGUCCCAGAGUGGUGGAACCAUACUGUAGGUCCCAGAGUGGUGGCACCAUACUGUAGGUCCC
Molecule: long non-coding RNA, 1786 nt
Organism: Oncorhynchus keta (chum salmon)
Lineage: Eukaryota; Metazoa; Chordata; Actinopteri; Salmoniformes; Salmonidae
Exons: 3
Source: RefSeq, a predicted model, not a curated record